RNAcentral lists this small nuclear RNA (103 nucleotides) under Neogale vison (American mink). Lineage: Eukaryota; Metazoa; Chordata; Mammalia; Carnivora; Mustelidae. The record is from RNAcentral.
GUACUCGCUUCAGCAGCACAUAUGCUAAAAUUGGAAUGAUGCAGAGAUUAGCAUGGCCCCUACACAAGGAGGACAAAAAAUUCAUGAAGCAUUCCAUAUUUUU